This 4098-nucleotide long non-coding RNA is filed under the name Mus musculus (house mouse). RNAcentral describes it as "long non-coding RNA chr10:14100969-14105067". Lineage: Eukaryota; Metazoa; Chordata; Mammalia; Rodentia; Muridae. The record is from RNAcentral.
AGCCAUUAUGCUGGGCCAGCUUAGUUUCUUCUUCAGCUGACUCACAUUGAAAUCAGAAUUUCACUCUCCAUUUGACUCUUGGCCACUGCUCUUCUUGUUUCUUCGCCAAGCCCCUCCCCCCCAUCUUCAUUACCUGCCCCUGAAGAAAAGAGCUGUGAACCUUGAUGUUCUUGACAUUUAUCUUGGGAUCAGGCUAGGUCAGGAAAGCAUGAGCCUCACUGUACCGUGCCCCUUACAGCCUCUAUGUUGGUGGAUCCAUCAACCUGUUUUAGCACCUGUGUAACUUUUUUUUUUUUGUCUGCAAAUUAGUAAAGCUGUCCAGGCCACGCCAUGUGUGAUAUUUAUAAUUAUUCACACGUCCUGUGAGUUCUUUGCUACUAAGGCAUGACUGCUAAGUCUGUGAGCAAAUUCUUCCAAUUAAAAUCUGUGCUUGCUGGAUAAAAAUAAAUUGGCGUUAUGUUUCCAUGUGCAAUUAAAGUCGGAGCCUGAGUUCUGUACACCGUGUCAUGCACAACUGGAUGCAGGAAUGAAAAGAAAGUGGAGAAGCAGGUAAACUUUUGAUACUCCUACCUUAGGGAUCCUACAGUGGCUGAAAUCUUUGUGAGUUCAACAAGUUUGUAUGAAAAGGAAAACGUUUGUGUUCCUUCUGUCCUUCAGGAAUCUGCCUGAGAAGGCAUAAGAAGAGAAGGCCCUCUAGGCGACUUGAGAAAGGUAUCCUGGCCUUUAAUGCCGAAGGAAAGUAUCUGGCCUUUUCCUUUGUUCUGUCCUGAUUGAGCUGUGCAACUCGGGUUGGGAUAACUGCUGAACUUACUUUCAGUCCCAGCAUCUGUGUUCACUUGAGCCCAGGGAGGACAUGUUCUGUUUGUGUCCUGAGGGUUUGUGUAUGUGUGUGUCUAUACAUAGUUGUGGGGUGUUUUCCACCCAAUUGUUGGUUGUAACCAUGAAAGAUACAAAGAGCAAUUGCUUCACAGUUUAAUAAGCCUAAGUCUUCGUACCCACAGAGUGUAGGAGAAGUCUUUCCCCCUCUCAACCCUCGUCUUCAACUAAUUAUAUGCCUUGCCUAUGCAACUGUAAUUAUUUCACCAGCCUUUGUGAAACCUUUCUUUAAACUAUAGUUAGAAAAAUAGCAGAAACGAAUCUAUUUUGAGAACUUGUGUGGUGAAGCAAGUUCCAGCAAAAGAAAGGGAUCCUCUGGAUUGGACCCAGAGUGACAGCAUUUCGUCACUUGUAAGUUCAAGUGAUGAUGACAUAUUGGCGGUGCACCAGUUUCUUACUGGAUCUGAAAUAUACACUUGAUAAAUCUCUCUCCUUAAGAAUUAAAUGCACGGCAAUAUUGACCUGGUCAAAUAGUGGCAUUAAAAAAAACAAAAAACAAAACCAAACCAAAAAAACCCACAAAAGUUUCCAUGUGCUUUCCAUUUUCUGAGAUGAUGCCCUUGGAAGACCACAUGCCGCCCUUGCUGUUUGUAACUGAGUUUGUGUCAAAUGAAUGUUUUACAUGUCAUCCACAUGCUUGAUCAGUCUCUUAUCUUAGUUGAUCUUAAAAGAUCACAUAGGUAUGGAAACAUCAGAAUAGAGGUUAUAUGCUACAACAUCCAGCUCAGCUACAGAAAAUGGCAGAACUCUUGCUCUAGAUAUUAAAAGGUGAAUUUACAAAGUAAAUUGCACAGUAAGUGGACUCCACUCUGCUCUCUACCUUUUCUUUAAGCAUCUCCAGUAAGGAAGUCACUGUCAUGGCUGUCCCCUCUCCAGAACGUUCCCUUAUUAGGGGAUGAUUCUGUUUUUGGAAACUUGACUUUGCUUAUAAUGCUUUCUGUAUUGUUUCUCUGGAAAUGUCACUUUUCAUCCUUAAAACUAAGCUUGAUUAUAUUAGGAAAAGGGAGAGCCAAGCAAUGUUUUGUGAAAUUAAGAGAAUCAGCAGCAAUGGCUCCAGGAAAACAUCACGUGACACAACUGAGUCUCCAAAGAAACCAGAAAUUUCCACUUCACACUCACGGAUCAUGGUGGAGCAUGUAAUGGAGAGGUGUGCUGUCAGUUGGCUUUGUUGUAUGAACAUUGUAGUUCCUUCCAUAGACAAAAAGCCUCUGAUCUUACUAGGCAAGGUGAGUUGAUGUGGCCUUCAUUGUAGAUGGAAUUAACAUUGAUGGAGCCCUCGUGUAGCAUGUAGAUUCCUUUAGUUUUACAGUAACCAAGGUUGGCAGAGCAGGAUGGAGUGUACCUAUUUUUAAGUGAGGGUGCUCAGUCAGUUGAAGUGGCUAAGGUUACAUAGUGGAAAAGAAAAUCAGUAUGCUCACAGAGGUUUUGGCAAUCCCCAGUCCCUGGCCUUCCUCUUUCUAUGGCUGUUGACCCCAUCUAACCUUCUCACAUGAAAACUACGAAGGAUAAAGCACUGUGACGUCUGCUCGGACUUGCUGAAUUGGUGUUCUUUAUCACAGCACCACUGUAUCUCUUACUGUAAUGCAUUUUUGUGGGCUCUCUUGAAGUGACUUGCUUUGGAUGCACCUCACUUCAUACAUAGUGAGACCCAGGGAGGGUCUCCUUCUCCCCUCUGAUCUGAACCAGCAUCAGAACAGGGUUCAAGGGAAAGCAGAGAUGCUGGGUAGACCACCCUGUGACAUUCAUAGUCAGGACUGAGAUCUCAACCCUAGUGAAGAAGGACAGUUUGAGUUUUAGAAAAUUGAAUGGCUCCUUUGCAUUGUUUCCGCAGAUAUAAAUACUUCCCACACAUUUGGGAAGAUUUCUCUUCCUAAAACUCUCAUUCCUCUUCUUUUUAGUCCUCUUUCUCAUCCAUUAUGAUAUAAAAAGAAGCCAUGUCUAAGAUUUCAUCUCUUGACUUUAAAUUUGAAUAUCUCCACAGGUUAAAUUCUUCCUCAUGCAAUAGGUACUAAUUAAGUAGAAUUUCUUUUUAGAAAUAGAUUUGCCCAUUAUGGUGAAGCCUUUUUUCGCCCUGAACAUACUGGGUAUAUAUGAAAAUAGAGGCUAAAUCAUGAGAAAUUUCAAUGUGGAAAGGAACCAGGUGGUCCACAGGAGAGAAUAAAUCAAGUAAAGAUGCUGUCUGUUAGUCAGUGUUCCACCUUAUUAAACAUGAAUUCUGCACUUCUUACAGCAGAGGCAGAGGUGCUUAAUAAGUGUUAAUAAUGACUAAUAUCAUAUCACAGAUGUUAAUUGAAUGUUGAUAAGUAUCUAAAAAUUACAGUAACAGAGACACACUUCAGCAACCUAGCACAGUGAUGCUCUUCCUUGGUGAAAUGCUGCAGAUUGUGUGUGUGUGUACAUGAACACUUGCAAUUAAGACAGGAUUUUUGCAACAGUCAAAUGCAGACGUUCAGUAUUUUUGUGGUGCCACCCAGAUAUGCUGCCAUCCAGACAUCAAGUCUGAAGUAAGGGAAAAUAUUUGCUGCUUAAUCUAAUAUCAGGGAAAAUUCUUGGACAAAAAUACUAAGAAUAAAUAACCUUUAGCAAUUUGAUCCGGAUUUGAAUAACAUCUGGGAUUUCUGGCAUUAAGUAUUUUGUAUAUGUGGGGCAUUCAUGCAUAAGGAGGAGGGUAAAACUCAAGCUAGCACAUGAUGCUAGGGUCUACAGCAGGGAAGAAGUUUUGUUUUGUUUUUUAUUUUUUUCCUAACGGUCUGAAUUCCAGCCCAAAGGCUUCCUUGCUUUCUGAUGUCACCAGCUGUUCCUCUUGCACCUUGAACUUUGAUCACAGUUGUACAUUGUCUUGCACAAGUUAUUUGAACAACUCUGAUAUUGAAGACUCAGAAAUGUUUGGUAAGGAGGGAGCUAUUUUCCAUGGUUCUUACUUUUCCACAUAAUUUGUAGAGUUUUAAAGCGGCUUGCUGCUGUCCAAUGUUGGGUUUUUAUUCUGUGGGGUCAGAAUAAUGUGCGUCUUCAGUUGUUUUAAGGUGGCAUGGUGUCUGACGCUCCCAUUCUAGCCUUGGGUAUUUUAGUUCUAUGCAGAAGAAUGGCUCUCCUCAGGGCUAAUAAGGUCUCUAGUUCCCUUUGUCCUUUAGAAAUAUCUUGGUUGGUACUGUAGAUAGGGCUAAGACUCCUUCCUGCCAGUAAGUCAAGGAAUAAGUUUAUUUUAUGGCUAGUGAUCCUGUC